UACAGAGGUCUCAAGCGUUGUUCGGAUUCAUUGGGCGUAAAGGGUGCGUAGGUGGCGGGGCAAGUCUGGUGUGAAAUCCCGGGGCUCAACCCUGGAACUGCACUGGAUACUGCCUUGCUAGAGUACUGGAGAGGGAACUGGAAUUUACGGUGUAGCGGUGAAAUGCGUAGAUAUCGUAAGGAAGACCAGUGGCGAAGGCGGGUCUCUGGACAGUUCCUGACGCUGAGGCACGAAGGUCAGGGGAGCAAACGGG
This 253-nucleotide ribosomal RNA is filed under the name uncultured bacterium. RNAcentral's name for it is "partial 16S ribosomal RNA". It matches the Rfam family "Bacterial small subunit ribosomal RNA", at positions 524 to 776 of the family's 1533-position model. The record is from RNAcentral.